AUGUACCUUUGGUUUCCUAGAAGCCCAUUGUGCGCGUCCUUAAUUAGCAACUCACUUUCCAAAAGUUCCGAUGACAAUUUAUGUGAAACCAGUUGUGCAGUUUGCAUCUUUGUAACAAUACAUGCUAUAACAUCGAAGUUAACACUAAAAGUGUUCUCUGCAGUGUAUGGAAGUUUAACUUAUUAUGCGAAUCUGCUUUCAUUUGAUUGUGCCUCAAAUUUCACAAUCAUUAUUAUUUAUUUUAGACACUUGAAAAUGAAGGGAGAAAUGCUACAGUUGUAUGUUGUUUCUGCAGUAUGUUGA
RNAcentral lists this ribosomal RNA (303 nucleotides) under Triticum aestivum (bread wheat). RNAcentral describes it as "partial small subunit ribosomal RNA". Lineage: Eukaryota; Viridiplantae; Streptophyta; Magnoliopsida; Poales; Poaceae. The record is from RNAcentral.